Molecule: ribosomal RNA, 425 nt
Filed under: uncultured bacterium
Lineage: Bacteria
Description: partial 16S ribosomal RNA
Rfam family: Bacterial small subunit ribosomal RNA
Source: RNAcentral
GUGGGGAAUAUUGGACAAUGGGCGCAAGCCUGAUCCAGCCAUGCCGCGUGAGUGAUGAAGGCCUUAGGGUUGUAAAGCUCUUUCACCGAUGAAGAUAAUGACGGUAGUCGGAGAAGAAGCCCCGGCUAACUUCGUGCCAGCAGCCGCGGUAAUACGAAGGGGGCUAGCGUUGUUCGGAUUUACUGGGCGUAAAGCGCACGUAGGCGGUUUGUUAAGUCAGAGGUGAAAUCCCGGAGCUCAACUCCGGAACUGCCUUUGAUACUGGCAAGCUAGAGUCCGGAAGAGGUAAGUGGAACUCCUAGUGUAGAGGUGGAAUUCGUAGAUAUUAGGAAGAACACCAGUGGCGAAGGCGGCUUACUGGUCCGGAACUGACGCUGAGGCGCGAAAGUGUGGGGAGCAAACAGGAUUAGAAACCCUGGUAGUCC